CAUUUUAAAUAUUUAUUCUCUACUGCUCACCAUUCAUCUCCAAGUUUAACUAAUGUUAAUUUUCAUAAAUACUCAAAAAUAAAUUUGGUACGUAAAAUAGGAAACAUUCAGCUAGCGAAUUAUGAAGUUCUCAAUCUUUUUGUGUACCGUCGUCAUGACGACAUGUCGAGUGGAAUGUGCUUCAAUUAAGGAGCGCAGGAGGGGGACAUUAAAUAAAAUACCGCUCCAAAACGGUGAAGAUUGUCCGCUUUACUGUGAUUCCUGCUCAAAGGAAUAUUGCUACUAUUACGACGAAGAAGUUGUGCUCACCACGUGAGUCAACACUCUUAGAAAUAGUGUUACCUUAUUUUAUUGGAACGUCAACGUAACGUUAACUUGCUAAAGAGUAAAGUUUCUCUGGAUUUUGUAUAGUUGCUACAAAUCUUAAAUUCAGCCUGCAUUUACUGUUCAAAUAGUAACAUUAUUUAUAAGACUCCACUUACAUAAAUACAUAUAAUACUUUUACUAUCAGAAUUUCAAUCAGAAUCACUAAAAUUUACUAUUGCCCACUAAAUACCUGGUAAAUGAAAUCGGUGUAAAAUUAAAUAAAUUUUAUUCCUCCUGAGUCAUGACGUUCUUCUAGAGAUUUUAUUUACGAAGUUGUAAUUCGACAAGCUUAAAGUAUCUGUAAGGUACAUACAUACAUAUAUGAAAAUAUGGUUCAACAUUUUUGACAAACCUUCGAAAAUACAUAUCUAUGUAAAUAUGUUUAGCGGAAUAGUUUUCGUCAUGAUGAUCUUUUUCGUGAUAAUCUUCGCCUGGAACUAUAUCAGGAUUUGCUUCCAUUUAGUGGUAACUGCUGGUUCGUAUCUUUUCAUGAACGAGGCACACCGAUGACCAAGUGACCUGUUUAUAAGAUGUCCAAAGACCAGCCAUAUGCAGUCCGGGAGCCAGAGGAACAGUCAUCGUUAGGGGAACAAGCGAGUAAAUAACUCAAGUUGUUAGAUAUUUGUAAAUGAUGAGAAGGGAAUAAUUUCAAAUAAAACGUUUUGAUGGAAUA
This is a long non-coding RNA of Folsomia candida, 1039 nucleotides long. RefSeq lists it as uncharacterized. Lineage: Eukaryota; Metazoa; Arthropoda; Collembola; Entomobryomorpha; Isotomidae. The transcript has 3 exons. The record is from RefSeq and is a predicted model, not a curated record.